GACGUAGGGUGCGAGCGUUGUCCGGAUUUAUUGGGCGUAAAGAGCUCGUAGGCGGUUUGUCGCGUCUGCUGUGAAAACUCAGGGCUUAACUCUGAGCUUGCAGUGGGUACGGGCAGACUAGAGUACUGCAGGGGAGACUGGAAUUCCUGGUGUAGCGGUGAAAUGCGCAGAUAUCAGGAGGAACACCGGUGGCGAAGGCGGUUCUCUGGGCCUUACCUGACACUGAGGAGCGAAAGCGUGGGGAGCGAACAGG
RNAcentral lists this ribosomal RNA (253 nucleotides) under uncultured bacterium. Its description in RNAcentral is "partial 16S ribosomal RNA". It matches the Rfam family "Bacterial small subunit ribosomal RNA", at positions 524 to 776 of the family's 1533-position model. The record is from RNAcentral.